GCAUCUGGCGGGCGAAUCGGAAGCUUCUUUUGAAGCGCCAGUAGCACACACACUGGUACGCCAAUUCCUUUUCGUCCGCCGCCAGC
This 86-nucleotide non-coding RNA is filed under the name Enterobacter ludwigii. The record is from RNAcentral. Lineage: Bacteria; Pseudomonadati; Pseudomonadota; Gammaproteobacteria; Enterobacterales; Enterobacteriaceae. RNAcentral also lists the same sequence under 1 other name.